GCAGUGGGAGCACAGGUUUACCUGUGUGACUGCGUACCUUUUGUAUAAUGGGUCAGCGACUUAUAUUCUGUAGCAAGGUUAACCGUAUAGGGGAGCCGGAGGGAAACCGAGUCUUAACCGGGCGUUAAGUUGCAGGGUAUAGACCCGAAACCCGGUGAUCUAGCCAUGGGCAGGUUGAAGGUUGGGUAACACUAACUGGAGGACCGAACCGACUAAUGUUGAAAAAUUAGCGGAUGACCUGUGGCUGGGGGUGAAAGGCCAAUCAAACCGGGAGAUAGCUGGUUCUCCCCGAAAGCUAUUUAGGUAGCGCCUCGUGAAUUCAUCUCCGGGGGUAGAGCACUGUUUCGGCUAGGGGGCCAUCCCGGCUUACCAACCCGAUGCAAACUGCGAAUACCGGAGAAUGUUAUCACGGGAGACACACGGCGGGUGCUAACGUCCGUCGUGAAGAGGGAAACAACCCAGACCGCCAGCUAAGGUCCCAAAGUCAUGGUUAAGUGGGAAACGAUGUGGGAAGGCCCAGACAGCCAGGAUGUUGGCUUAGAAGCAGCCAUCAUUUAAAGAAAGCGUAAUAGCUCACUGGUCGAGUCGGCCUGCGCGGAAGAUGUAACGGGGCUAAACCAUGCACCGAAGCUGCGGCAGCGACACUCAGGUGUUGUUGGGUAGGGGAGCGUUCUGUAAGCCUGUGAAGGUGGCCUGUGAGGGUUGCUGGAGGUAUCAGAAGUGCGAAUGCUGACAUAAGUAACGAUAAAGCGGGUGAAAAGCCCGCUCGCCGGAAGACCAAGGGUUCCUGUCCAACGUUAAUCGGGGCAGGGUGAGUCGACCCCUAAGGCGAGGCCGAAAGGCGUAGUCGAUGGGAAACGGGUUAAUAUUCCCGUACU
RNAcentral lists this ribosomal RNA (878 nucleotides) under Salmonella enterica subsp. enterica serovar Typhi. RNAcentral describes it as "partial 23S ribosomal RNA". It matches the Rfam family "Bacterial large subunit ribosomal RNA", at positions 570 to 1445 of the family's 2925-position model. Lineage: Bacteria; Pseudomonadati; Pseudomonadota; Gammaproteobacteria; Enterobacterales; Enterobacteriaceae. The record is from RNAcentral.